GAGAUUCUCGCCAAGUUCGGUUAUGUUGAAGAGGAGACUCUCCAACUGGCGGCAUAAGUCCCGUCACGUCCUACUCUGGAUGCUCGUUAAGGAGCUAGGGCGUCGAUAGCGAGCAAAAAACUGGGCAACGCCGAAGAGGCUCAGUAUAAUCCAACUUUUUGGCAGCCUGCGAGGCCGUUUGUCGGUGACAUGCUGAAGCAGGUAUAUAACAUCGACUAAGCUUGUAGUAUAUUUGAGCCGAUGGCUUUAAAGACGCGGGUUCGACUCCCGCCGCUUCCACCA
RNAcentral lists this transfer-messenger RNA (282 nucleotides) under bacterium. RNAcentral describes it as "partial transfer-messenger RNA". It matches the Rfam family "transfer-messenger RNA", at positions 82 to 374 of the family's 374-position model. From Rfam's summary of the family: Bacterial tmRNA, also known as 10Sa RNA or SsrA, is named for its dual tRNA and mRNA-like properties. Its role is to liberate the mRNA from a stalled ribosome. To accomplish this part of the tmRNA is used as a reading frame that ends in a translation stop signal. The record is from RNAcentral.